This 482-nucleotide ribosomal RNA is filed under the name uncultured bacterium. Its description in RNAcentral is "partial 16S ribosomal RNA". It matches the Rfam family "Bacterial small subunit ribosomal RNA", at positions 30 to 507 of the family's 1533-position model. The record is from RNAcentral.
AUCGAACGCUGGCGGCAUGCCUUACACAUGCAAGUCGAACGGUAACAGGUCUUCGGAUGCUGACGAGUGGCGAACGGGUGAGUAAUACAUCGGAACGUGCCCGAUCGUGGGGGAUAACGAGGCGAAAGCUCUGCUAAUACCGCAUACGAUCUACGGAUGACAGCGGGGGAUCUUCGGACCUCGCGCGGACGGAGCGGCCGAUGGCAGAUUAGGUAGUUGGUGGGAUAAAAGCUUACCAAGCCGACGAUCUGUAGCUGGUCUGAGAGGGUGAUCAGCCACACUGGGACUGAGACACGGCCCAGACUCCUACGGGAGGCAGCAGUGGGGAAUUUUGGACGAUGGGCGAAAGCCUGAUCCAGCCAUGCCGCGUGCAGGAUGAAGGCCUUUGGGUUGUAAACUGCUUUUGUACGGAACGAAAAGCCUCUUUCUAAUAGAGAGGGGUCAUGACGGUACCGGAAGAAUAAGCACCGGCUAACUACGUG